CUGUCAAUUUACAAAUGAGACAGAAGGACAGAGGGAUCCAACAACUCGCCCCAAAUCACAGAGAUGAGAAGCGAAUUCAAGGCUGUCAAGCCUUGGCUGCCAACAUUAGUUACAAUAGCCAAAGACACGGAAGCAGCCCAAGAGUCCAUUCACAGAUGAGUGGAUAAAGAAGAUGUGGUGUCCGUAUACACUGGAAUAUUACUCAGCCACAAAAAAAAAAAAAAAAAAAGAACGAGAUCUUGUCGUUUG
Molecule: long non-coding RNA, 249 nt
Organism: Canis lupus familiaris (dog)
Lineage: Eukaryota; Metazoa; Chordata; Mammalia; Carnivora; Canidae
Exons: 2
Source: RefSeq, a predicted model, not a curated record